Molecule: ribosomal RNA, 681 nt
Filed under: Salmonella enterica subsp. enterica
Lineage: Bacteria; Pseudomonadati; Pseudomonadota; Gammaproteobacteria; Enterobacterales; Enterobacteriaceae
Description: partial 23S ribosomal RNA
Rfam family: Bacterial large subunit ribosomal RNA
Source: RNAcentral
GUUGCAGGGUAUAGACCCGAAACCCGGUGAUCUAGCCAUGGGCAGGUUGAAGGUUGGGUAACACUAACUGGAGGACCGAACCGACUAAUGUUGAAAAAUUAGCGGAUGACCUGUGGCUGGGGGUGAAAGGCCAAUCAAACCGGGAGAUAGCUGGUUCUCCCCGAAAGCUAUUUAGGUAGCGCCUCGUGAAUUCAUCUCCGGGGGUAGAGCACUGUUUCGGCUAGGGGGCCAUCCCGGCUUACCAACCCGAUGCAAACUGCGAAUACCGGAGAAUGUUAUCACGGGAGACACACGGCGGGUGCUAACGUCCGUCGUGAAGAGGGAAACAACCCAGACCGCCAGCUAAGGUCCCAAAGUCAUGGUUAAGUGGGAAACGAUGUGGGAAGGCCCAGACAGCCAGGAUGUUGGCUUAGAAGCAGCCAUCAUUUAAAGAAAGCGUAAUAGCUCACUGGUCGAGUCGGCCUGCGCGGAAGAUGUAACGGGGCUAAACCAUGCACCGAAGCUGCGGCAGCGAACGUAUCACUUAAAGCGAUUCAGCGGGUUACGAUUGACGGAGCGAAGCGACGUCAAAGCGUAUACAAAGUCGAGUCGGUUUAAGGAUACGUUCGUUGGGUAGGGGAGCGUUCUGUAAGCCCGUGAAGGUGGCCUGUGAGGGUUGCUGGAGGUAUCAGAAGUGCGAAU